RNAcentral lists this ribosomal RNA (468 nucleotides) under uncultured bacterium. RNAcentral's name for it is "partial 16S ribosomal RNA". It matches the Rfam family "Bacterial small subunit ribosomal RNA", at positions 28 to 507 of the family's 1533-position model. The record is from RNAcentral.
GACGAACGCUGGCGGCGUGCUUAACACAUGCAAGUCGAACGGAAAGGCCCUGCAUUUGUGGGGUGCUCGAGUGGCGAACGGGUGAUUAACCCGUGAGUAACCUGCCCUUGACUUUGGGUUAACUUCAGGAAACUUGGUCUAAUACCGGAUAGGUGCUCCUGCUGCAUGGUGGGGGUUGGAACGUUUCGUCGGUUGGGGAUGGACUCGCGGCUUAUCAGCUUGUUGGUGGGGUAGUGGCUUACCAAGGCCUUGACGGGUAGCCGGCCUGAGAGGGUGACCGGCCACAUUGGGACUGAGAUACGGCCCAGACUCCUACGGGAGGCAGCAGUGGGGAAUAUUGCACAAUGGGCGGAAGCCUGAUGCAGCAACGCCGCGUGCGGGAUGACGGCCUUCGGGUUGUAAACCGCUUUCGCCUGUGACGAAGCGUGAGUGACGGUAAUGGGUAAAGAAGCACCGGCUAACUACGUG